GUUCGCUGUCAGGUGGGCAGGUGCACUGUGGAAUGAGAGGAAAGAAAGCACCACAGCCUUGCUCUCAGCUGCUGUGUCCCCGAGGAGAUCAAGCAGCUUUGAAUAUGUAUCAUAUUUGUACAGCUCGCCAUGUGGCUUCAGUGACAAAGAGCUUGUCAGGCAGAGACCAAAGGCCAACUGCAUGUUGUAUUAUGAGCCUCUGUCAGUCCACACAGCCAAAAGGUUGGUGCUGAAGGAGCAGCAGUCAUACAGGAAAUUGGAAAUUCUGUACCUGCAUCUUCAAGACCUCCUGGUGGGAGAGGAUGGAAGCUGGUGAUCAGAAACCAGUUUGAAUUCAUUCUUCCAUUGAGAGCUGUUUCUGGAGGUUUGUGCAUACUCCUGGAAAGCAAUUUAGACAGGAAAAUAAUCUAUUUGCUGGCAAAGGCAGUAAAUUUUGUUAUGGAAAUGAAUUUUAAUAACUGCAUUAUCUAUGUUGGCAUUAAAGACAUGAAUCACCAGGAGUUCCCGUUGUGGCUCUGUGGGUUAAGAAUCUGAUGCUAUUUCUGUGAGGAUGCAGGUUCAAUCCCCGGCCUUGCUCAGUGGGUUAAGAAUCCAGUGUUGCCACAAGCUGCAGCGUAGGUCAUAGAUGCCGACUUGGAUCUGGUGUUGCCGUGGCUGUGGUGUAGGCUGAAGCUGCAGCUGUGAUUCGGCCUCUGAGCUGAGAACUUCCGUAUCCCACAGAUCUGACAGUAAAAAGGAGAGAAAAGGAAAUGAUUUGUCAUACAUAUUAAUCUAUCUGCAUAUAUACACAUACCUCAUACAUACAUACACGCACAUAAAUAUACACAUGUCCAUAUAGAUACUAGAUUGACCUCUACAGACUUGGGUUAGGUUGAAUAUAAAAGUAGAAAAAAGUAUCGUGCAGAGAAAUGUGAAUAUAAACCAAGUGGUUAAUUAAUACAACCGACUUUCUGCUUAAAAUGCCCCAUCUUUCUUAUUUUCAGAGGUGUUUGCAGGGUUUUAGAAUGAUCAGUAGAAAGAACUGUGCUUUUCUUGCUGGGGUCACUAUUUUCAAAGUCAAAGAACUCUCCAGGCACCUCGUUUUCUCGUGUACUAAAUCAGAGGGUUAGAAUGGAGUGUUUGACAGAACUAUU
This 1133-nucleotide long non-coding RNA is filed under the name Sus scrofa (pig). RNAcentral's name for it is "lncRNA (ENSSSCG00070006040.1)". Lineage: Eukaryota; Metazoa; Chordata; Mammalia; Artiodactyla; Suidae. The record is from RNAcentral.